AUAAAACCCUAAGUUAUAUUUUCUCUCCUCACAUCUCCACUGACUCCCCCUCUUCUUCUCCCGAUUUCCUCUCCUUCUCAUCUAUUGCGACGCCGAGCCACCGCCGACCCUCGCCCUUCUUCUCCACCGUGACUUCUCUCCCUCUCGUCCCGAUCCCCUUCCUUUCCCUCUCCCGCUCGCAGCGUGGAGCGCCCUCUCCUCUCCCGAUCUUUGACAUCGCUGGCCGACGCGGGGGGGGCCACUCCGAUCGUCGCCACCAUUGCCCGAACCCCCUCCCUCUUUUCCGAUCUCUCUGUGCGCCGCUGCCGACCAUCACGGAACCAUGACCGGUCGUCGUUGCCUGAAGCCACCCCAAUCCGCCGAACACUACCACCCCUCUUCCGAUCUCAUCGUGGGCCGAUCUCGAGGUGUCGUCGGUGCCGGAAAAGGGAAUUGAUGCACAAAGGGUUAGAGCUACCCUCCCUCUGACUUGAGGACCGAAUCAGAGCAGUGUUUCCUUCCUCCUCUUUGUCGUGAGACAUCGUGAUGCCAUUGAUUGUCGACACCAGUGGAGGCAUACCCGACAGAUGUUACUCUUCUGGCUAUGUGAAGUCCAAGGUUACAACGUGUGCAACCGUGCUGAGUUCCCGACCACCACAUUAAAAGGAGCCAAGGAUUGAAUUGGAGAACUGGAUUUGGAGAUCAGCAACUUCCCCUUGCCCUGCUACAAUUUUCGACAGCAAACGCUUCUCCGGCUAAGUUAACAGUGAAGCAUUCGAAUUUUGGAUAAGUUCUGUUUCUGAUCUUUAGGGCUACAUGAACCUAAUUGUUUCACAAGGUGGAAUAGGAUCUGGAUUAAUCCUUGGAUACAAUGGAUUGAUUGAUAGGGUUGGGUAUUAAUAGAGCUAAGCCUUGCUGGGUUGUAGGCAAUUGAUCCUUAUCUUGGUAUCAGGGUAAGUUUCCAACCAUAUGUUUUGUCCCUUUAAUUUAUAUCGUAGAUGAUCUAUAUUGUUAAAGGAUCCUAUAGGUUAUUGAUUAAUGUCUUUCUCGGAUUAAAAUGGGGAAAUGUGAAGGAAGUGUUAGAUCAUUUAAAUGGAAUUAAAAUAAGGAUUUCCUAUUCAAAUUAGUAUUUGGACUAACUAUGUGGCUUAUGAUAGAACUUAGCAGUACUAUAUAUAUUCUGUGUUGCAGAAUACUAGUCGGAGACAUAUCCUGACGUGGAGAUAAUUCAAGACGAUCUACAUUUAGGGCGGGUUGAAGUCGCUUGGAGUAUCCUGUCUACCGAUCCUACGUCACAUCCGAAGACUGUUUCUGGUUUCAUUUAUGUUUUAUCUGGUUUAUGUAUUUGGUGGAUUUAGCAUUGUAUAUUCCGAUUUUGUUUCUGGAGUGUUGCUACAUGGUAUCGGAUAUUAUUUUGUUGUUUUGUGUAAGCUUAGCCGGCUAGCAGUCUUUGUUGUUUUGGUUUGUAUGAGAUUUCUUUUGUUUUGUUUUUCCGCUGUGUGUUUUUAGUACAGCCGAGUGGGUUGUUUAAUAUAUAUAAUUACAUGGUUGUGAUAUUUUGUU
Molecule: long non-coding RNA, 1542 nt
Organism: Zingiber officinale
Lineage: Eukaryota; Viridiplantae; Streptophyta; Magnoliopsida; Zingiberales; Zingiberaceae
Exons: 3
Source: RefSeq, a predicted model, not a curated record